RNAcentral lists this long non-coding RNA (1107 nucleotides) under Phasianus colchicus (ring-necked pheasant). RNAcentral describes it as "lncRNA (ENSPCLG00000003267.1)". Lineage: Eukaryota; Metazoa; Chordata; Aves; Galliformes; Phasianidae. The record is from RNAcentral.
ACAGGACUUUACCGAAUCACUCAGUUUUGAAGAUACAUAAAAUUGUUGCUUGUUCCUAAGCAUUUCUUUUAAAAGGGUGAGUGAACUGAUUAGGUUGAACCUGUCAUUGCCUCUUUAUUGUCCACAGAACCAGCCAUUGCCUUUAGUAAGAAGGCAAAGCAGAAAUGCUGCAGGCAGCUAUUUAAUCUGCACUUUACUGAAGAAAUUAUGCAGGAUUUGUCUGGCAUAGAAUCACUGGCUUGUGUAAACACCAGAUGUAAGUGAAACACAGUGUCUUAACUAGAAUGCUGUGUUUAGGCCAAUAAAAGUAAUAUAUUAUUAUAGACAAUGCUCCUGGUACCUAUAUCUGGGCUAUGCACCAGCAACAUCUUCUGUCUCCCUGGGCCUUGCCAGGGGCUGCUCUGACUGCCUGGCUCUGCUGGUUUAGUGCUGGGAAGGGCUGCAGCUGAGGUACACAUGCACGUCCUGCUCUUGUGCUAUGCUCUGAGACAGUGUUCCUUGGUGUCUGCAGAGAUCCAACCUUGCUGUCUGAUGUAGCCUUCUGCUUCUCACCUCAGUGCUUGCAGGUGUGUCCUUGCAGGGUAUGCUCUGGUUCCAGACUCCUUAGGGAGCAAAACAAGAAAGACCUUAUCCCAUCCAAGGGCUGAUAAACCCAUGCCUGCUGGGUGAAUAUGAAGAGGGAAAGGAGCAUCCUGCAAGCAGGGAUACAGUCUGUGAGGUCACUGACUUUUGUUCUGUCUGCUGAGAAAGCCUGCAAGCAGGGCAGAAAGAUGCUGUCUCAGGCUCUGCCUUCAUGACCCCAUCUUCUCCCAGCUGCUGCUGUUCCCAGUGUUGGAGGCCACAGGCUGCAUACCCAGUUUCCUAAGGGUGGCACAGCCAUCAGCCUGCUGGAAGGCUUUCAGUCCCACCAUUGGGUGCUGUUCCUCAGCAGCUGGGAAGGAGGAAGAGUGGCCCUUCGUGCUCACUGUAACACCUGCUUCAACCACAACAUGCUGCAGCAGUUGAGGACAAGGUCUGAGGUUUUCCAAAGAUGUUUAAUGGUGAGAAAAAUAAUUCAAUUAGCUUACCAAAAUAAGGUACCCUACAAUGUUCUCCUUCUUAGAUAAA